Carica papaya (papaya) is the source of this 1884-nucleotide non-coding RNA. NCBI's taxonomy places the organism in Eukaryota, Viridiplantae, Streptophyta, Magnoliopsida, Brassicales, Caricaceae. The record is from RefSeq and is a predicted model, not a curated record.
CUCUAUGCAUACAUGGUUGCAGCGGUACAUACCUGUAAAUACAGCAUGCUAUAACGAGUUUUCUCUGUAUUCAUGAACAAAGCUAUGGAACCUUGAAUUAAUCAUACCAUGCAGGGUUAGGGUCAUCAUAUUUUUACACAUUGGAGGUUGAUUCUGUUCUCUUUUAUCAUAGCAGUCAUUGGUGGUUGGUUUACCGUAGAUAACAGCACCUAUGCGAUUGAGCUUAUCCUUUGUGAUUGUCACAAGUUCCCAACACAUGGAUUUUGUCAACGCAGACAUUGCUAGGAUAAAAAAUGGUAUUUGACCGUUAGUCUUGAAGCUCAAAAACUUAAUAAACUAUAUUUCAAACUUGAUCAUGUUUCUAGUAAUCUUACCUUCCAGUUUUCCGCAUCUUCUUCCAGCUGCCUAGUACACUGGGGUAGCUGCCUAGUGCACUGGGGUAGCGGACCAGACAAAGUAACUUCCGGGUCUCAGAACUCUAUUAAUCUCCAAAAGUAGACCCCCUAUGAACAAUUUCUCCAUCAAACUUGAACGAAGAACAAAGGGAGUCAAUGGACUGAGGACUAUAUUAUGAAAUUUUGAGAUUUGAUUAGCUCUAAUCUAGUGGAAGAAAGGAAUCAAUUAGAAGCACGGUUUUCCUUCUUUAAGGCUGGAUACGUGGAAGAUUUUGUUAUGCAUGGUAUGAUCAGCAUUUAAUAAUUAACAAACUUUGACAGCUAUUAUGUAACUGUAUUGCAUAGACUAUUCUCUUCUUAGAAAUCUAAGAAUGUUAAAAAAAUGGAUAAAAGUUCUAAUCUCUUGCACUUCAUGAAUGAAGUGUUUUUUUUAUAAAAAAGCUCCUCUUCUUUGUUUCUCUCUCGCUACAACCUUAAAGAAAUGUAGUUGUGGAAGGGGUUUUAUUUUAUAUUUACGUUAAUGUCAAAUCAACAGGGAAUAAAUAAAAUCAUGUUUUAAGUUAUUUAGUGUGAUUGCCUUCACUUAUCAUGUUUUUUAGAAAGGUGGUACGUGAAUGGAGAUAGGAUGAUUUUUGAUCUCUUGUUAGUUCUUAACAGAAAAUUGUAUGAAAAGCUAAUCUAGUUUAGGCUUAUUUAUAUCAAUGUGGUCUUCUUUAAUUGAAGAGCUGGAUAAAAACUUUCUUUUGUCGUGGGAAUAUCUUAUCAUUGAUAAAUCUUGAAUUAUGUGGAAACAAUGAUCAAGGAGGAAGAUGAGGAUUGAACUCUGGCUGUAGUAAAUACUAUGGAAAAGGCCUUACAAUUGCGUGAUGGAGAUGCUAAUUUUCUUACUAAGAGAACAACUAAAUCUAGAUCAUAAAUUUUUCUUUCUAGAUCAUAUCCUAAGAGAAGAGGAGGAUGCUGACAUAAUUAUUGUUGAGAUGUAAGGAUUCAUUGUCCUUUUUCACAGUUUUUUAAUGAUGCAUUUGCUAUUAUACAUUACAUAAUCUGCAUUGUGGAUGUUGCGGCACUUGCUGAAAGCGACUGAUAGAGGUAGAAUAUGAGAUAUGAUAGAAAACUUAAUGAUAAAAUCCAUAAGGAUUUGCGCGUUCAUGUUUAGCUCAAUUUUUUUUCAAGAAUUACUGCUGCAUCUUGAGUUUUAGUUCAAAACGAAUUCUAGUGUCUUGAAUCAGGAUCUUUGAGAAAGUUUUAGUUGAUGAUAAGAUGCAUGUGUGGAAAGUCGAGUUCUUUCAAGGAGUUGAACUUGUGGGUUCUGUUUUGGUUCAAUUUCUUUUCAAGAAAUGUUGUGUAUUGAGUUUUUGUUUAAACUAAAGACUUUCUUUCCUUAUUGGAUUUCUUGAUAAAGUUUUAUUUCACGAUAAAAACCAUAAAGGUUUGUACGUUCAUGUUAACUCAAUUUUUUUUCCAAAAAAUAUUGAGUUUUAGUUUAAAA